CCUACGGGUGGCAGCAGUGAGGAAUAUUGGUCAAUGGGCGAGAGCCUGAACCAGCCAAGUCGCGUGAGGGAGUACUGCCCUAUGGGUUGUAAACCUCUUUUGUCGGGGAGCAAAAGCCGGACGUGUCCGGCUGUGAGAGUACCCGAAGAAAAAGCAUCGGCUAACUCCGUGCCAGCAGCCGCGGUAAUACGGAGGAUGCGAGCGUUAUCCGGAUUUAUUGGGUUUAAAGGGUGCGUAGGCGGAUUGAUAAGUUAGAGGUGAAAUGUCCGAGCUUAACUCGGGAACUGCCUCUAAUACUGUUGAUCUAGAGAGUAGAUGCGGUAGGCGGAAUGUAUGGUGUAGCGGUGAAAUGCUUAGAGAUCAUACAGAACACCGAUUGCGAAGGCAGCUUACCAAUCUAUAUCUGACGUUGAGGCACGAAAGCGUGGGGAGCAAACAGGAUUAGAUACCCCAGUAGUC
This 459-nucleotide ribosomal RNA is filed under the name uncultured bacterium. RNAcentral's name for it is "partial 16S ribosomal RNA". It matches the Rfam family "Bacterial small subunit ribosomal RNA", at positions 338 to 795 of the family's 1533-position model. The record is from RNAcentral.